Molecule: non-coding RNA, 825 nt
Organism: Leptonychotes weddellii (Weddell seal)
Lineage: Eukaryota; Metazoa; Chordata; Mammalia; Carnivora; Phocidae
Source: RefSeq, a predicted model, not a curated record
CUGAGAUGAAGAGUGGCGACUCAGCCAGGAGCCCCAAGCAGGGGCCGACUGGAGUGGAAUUCUCAGGACACGGAGGUGCCCCACUGCGGGAUUGUGAAAUUGGUUUCGCUGGAAUUGUGUGACAAUCGCCUCCUACAUACCACAGGGAUAUUCAAAUUGGAUGACGCCCCGCACGGAUCUGCUACUCGCAAAAUCAUCUGGCACACGAUCCUGGAAAAGGCUGGUGUCCAAAUAGGGAAUACGCUCACCCACAGUCAUUGUGCAAGUUGUCAGGAUGUGUGUAUCUACAAAGAUGGUUGAGAGCCUCGAGGUUUUUCUUACUCUAUUUUAGGAGAAGAAUCCAUUUCUGUGUUAACACCAGAACUGCUUAAGAAUCAACACUUUUCUAGGUGUCAGGUGAUAUCUUACUUGAAGGAAACACAUUUUGUAGAAAUUAAGACUUUCAGGAAUCAUUUAAGGAAAUAUACCAUAGUAGCUACCAUUUCCAAUAAAAUGAUAAAAAGCAGUUAGCUGAGGGGAGGGUGGGAUGAAUAGGCAGAGCACAGAGGAUUUUUAGGGCAGUAAAACUACUCCGUGGGGUACUAUAAUGGUAAGUACAUGUCAUUAUACAUUUGUCCAAACCCAUAGGAUGUGUAACACCAAGAACAACCCUAAAGUAAACAGUGGGCUUUGGGUGAUAAUGAAGUGUCAGUAUAAGUUCAUCAGUUGUAACUAAUGUAACCAUUCUGGAGGGGGUGUUGAUAAUGCAGGAGCUUAUGCAUGCAAAGGGUAGGGGAUGAGUAGAAAAUCUCUGUACCUACCUCCCAGUUUUGCUAUGAACCUAAA